Long non-coding RNA from Parus major (Great Tit), 1860 nucleotides. NCBI's taxonomy places the organism in Eukaryota, Metazoa, Chordata, Aves, Passeriformes, Paridae. The record is from Ensembl.
UGUUGUUCUAGCUAGUUGUCUACCUUGACUUCAGCAGGGCUUUUUCCCAUAAUACCCUCAUGGGUAAGCUCAGGAAAUGUGGGUUAGAUGAACAGGACCAAGAACUGGUUAAAUGACAAAGCAUAGAAGAUUGUGAUCAGAGGAAUUGAAUUAAGAUGGAAGCCUGCCAUUGGCAUUCCCCAAGGAUCAAUACUAGGUCCAGGCUUAUUCCAUUUAUCAAGAACCCAGACAAAGGAAUCAAAAGCACCCUCCACGGGUUUGCUGGUGACACUAAACUGGGGGUACUGUCUGAUUCACUUGAAGGCUCUGCUGCUAUUCCAUAGACCUUGAUCAGCUGAAGGGUUGGGCAGAGAGAAACUUAAUAAGGUUGAACUGAGUGUAAGGUACUGCACCUGGGGAGAAAGUGCUUCACAUGCCAGCACAGGCUGGGGUCUGACCUCUGCAAAGUGGUUCUGCAAAGGACCUGGGAGUCCUGGCAGACAAAAAGCUCUCCAUGAGCCAGCCAAGAAAGCUAAUAGUAUCCUGGGGUGCAUUAGGAAGAGCAUUGCCAGCAUGUCAAGGUAGAUGACCCUACCUCUUUACUCAGCAGUAGUGAGGCCACAUCUGGAGUGCUGUGCCCAGUUCUGGGAUCCUCAGGACAUUAGAGGGAAGGAGGUACUGGAGAGGGUUCAGCGAUAGCCACGAGGAAGAUGCAUCUCUCUUAUGCAGAGACACUGUUUAGUUUGGAUAAGACUGAGAGGGGGUCUCAUCAGUAUAUAAAAAUAUUUCAAAGGCCAAUACAAUGGUGCCAGAUCAAAUGCCUUACAAAUUAUUUGACUUGUUUUUGUAAGGCUUUUUACAGUAAUGUUUCAGAACAAAUUAUUCAUAAAAUGAGUGUAAACCACUCUGCUGAUAAAUUUUAAAAAUACUUUGUUCAAUCAGAGCAAGACUUCAGAGAAACAGAGCUGAUAACUUGAUAAAAAAUGUCUGUUUUCUAAGUGAUAAAUUUAUUUUCCUUUCAUGUUUUUGACAGCUUUAACGAGUACACAGUAUAGUGGACAAAAAAUCCUGAUCUCUUUAAUCAUCCCCAUAUGUGUGACUGUAGCUGUCCUUCUCUCUGCACUAAUAACAUUUCAGAAGAGAAAAUCAUUCAAGAAUGAGCAACCCAAAAAAGACAGGAAAAGAAAACUGAACCCUAAUGCAAAGGAUGAGAACAGUGAUGAUUUUAGCUCUCAGACUGAGGCUUUAUACUUGUCAACUGUCACAGCUUCAAGAGACAGUGGAACUGUGGGUCUGUGAAAACUCUUCAUCUUAUGUGCCAUAAUGUGCACUUUUUCUAUCUGUUUUGGGGACGUCAAAAGAAAAUUACAGCACUUUAGUCUUGGGAUAAACAGUGAACUCAUGGGGAUGUAUUUGCACUGCAGCGAUGGAAAGCUAUGCCUCCUCAAAUACCAUACCUUCUUGAAGUUACUGAGAACUAUGCUGUCAUGAAGUGUGGUUUACCACCACUGUGGAGAGGUCGAGUGCCUUUGUAACACUUGACUUUUGGACUUACUGUUGCUCAAGGGACUUUUGUUUAAGAAUGCUUUUAUUAACUGUUUCAGUCUCAGGAAUGGUGCUUGGAUUCAAACAUCUUGUGGAAUUUGUAUAAAAGCUGUAAAUGCUAUCUUAUGUCAAUUAUCUUUCAGGUGGAAACACCAUUACAUGCCCAUAUCCCAUUUCCAAAAUUUCUAACACAUUAAAUUGGAUAUUACCACAAGUACCCAUGAUCAUGGCAACAUCUAAAAGAUAUUUCAUAUCACAAGAGCAAUAAGAGGUUGAAAUUGAAUCAAAUGGCAGAAAAAAACCAACAAUCCAGCAAUAAAUCAACAUUAUAUUGCA